Molecule: RNA transcript, 1123 nt
Organism: Tigriopus californicus
Lineage: Eukaryota; Metazoa; Arthropoda; Copepoda; Harpacticoida; Harpacticidae
Gene name: troponin C-like
Exons: 7
Source: RefSeq, a predicted model, not a curated record
ACACAGGUCUCAACAACUACACGCUUUCUUUUUCCAGUUCACUCCAGAAGGCCAAAGUCGGGGAGAAAUUGCAACUAUCUGUUCAUUUACCCUCUUUGGGUUCUCUGAUUGUGAACACCCUGAGGAGAAGAACUAAAAGAAAUUGAGGGCGAGUGAUUGUGUGAUUAACGCCCAAUCAGUGAUCUCUUCUUUGAGUUCCAACCGGGUUGCUCCGGUUCCCCGCACUCAACCCUCCAUUGUCAAUUGGUUGUUGCUAUUGAAUUCCCAACAAAAUGGCGACUGGACUCAGUGAAGAGAAAAUGAAAGACAUUGGCCUUGAGCCAGAUCAGGUCGAAGUGCUGAUGAAAUGCUUCAAUGGGUUCUGCAAAGAGGGUGUGGUGAAGGCCGAGACCGUGGCCGAGAUUCUCCAGAUGAUGGGCCUUCGCGUGAAGCAAUCGUCUCUUAAAGAGAUCAUUGAUGAAGUCGACGAGGAUGGUUCCGGAGAGCUUGAAUUCGAAGAGUUUUGUAUUUUGGCCGCUCGCUUCUUGAUUGAAGAAGAUGAGGAACAAAUGAGGCGAGAAUUGAAAGAGGCCUUCAGGUUCUAUGACAAAGAAGGUGUGGGUUAUUUAACCAUUGAGACCCUGAAAGGUAUUCUCCUGGAGCUUGAGCCCAAACUCGAGGAUGCCCAACUCAUGGAAAUCGUGGACGAGGUCGACGAGGACGGAUCGGGAACCAUCGACUUUGAUGAGUUCAUGGAAAUGAUGAUUGGAUAAAGUUGGGGUAAAUAUUUGGUAGGCCUACCAACCAACUCUGUCAAUAGCCUCUAAAGGUUGCAAACCAGACUUUUGGCCAAGUUGAAAAAUGCAUGAGUUCAUGAACAUGAUGAUGGGAUGAUCUAAUAAAACAGCUCUUUGUACAAACAUUCCUUCAUCACACCACCAAUCGUCAAAAAAACAAUGUCCUCCGUCUUUGCCGAGCACGCAAUGAGAUCGGAACGAAUCGAUUCUUGUAUUGAAGGUUCAGCAAUCUGUUAUGUCCAGCUUGUCUCUCUCUUGUAUGCUUUGAUGCUCAAUAAUGUUUUUCUUACCUUGGUGUCUGAUCAAAAUAUGAAAAUGAAAUAAACCUCUGUGAAACAAAUCAUAAA